RNAcentral lists this ribosomal RNA (367 nucleotides) under uncultured bacterium. RNAcentral's name for it is "bacterial SSU rRNA". It matches the Rfam family "Bacterial small subunit ribosomal RNA", at positions 64 to 445 of the family's 1533-position model. The record is from RNAcentral.
GAACGAGAAAGUGGAGCAAUCCAUGAGUACAGUGGCGUACGGGUGAGUAACACGUGACUAACCUACCCUCGAGUGGGGAAUAACCUCGGGAAACCGGGGCUAACACCGCAUAACAUCUACGGAUCAAAUGCGUAAGCAGCUUGAGGAGGGGGUCGCGGCUGAUUAGCUAGUUGGCGGGGUAAUGGCCCACCAAGGCAGUGAUCAGUAGCCGGCCUGAGAGGGCGCACGGCCACACUGGAACUGAAACACGGUCCAGACUCCUACGGGAGGCAGCAGUGGGGAAUUUUGCGCAAUGGGGGAAACCCUGACGCAGCAACGCCGCGUGGAGGAUGAAGCCCCUUGGGGUGUAAACUCCUUUCGACCGGGA